RNAcentral lists this ribosomal RNA (46 nucleotides) under Fusarium sp. RNAcentral's name for it is "partial 28S ribosomal RNA". The record is from RNAcentral. Lineage: Eukaryota; Fungi; Ascomycota; Sordariomycetes; Hypocreales; Nectriaceae.
UGUUGCCCUCGGUUCUGGUUGGAGUCCCCGCUGAACUUAAGCAUAU